RNAcentral lists this transfer RNA (74 nucleotides) under Perkinsus marinus ATCC 50983. It matches the Rfam family "tRNA". Rfam says of the family: Transfer RNA (tRNA) molecules are approximately 80 nucleotides in length. Their secondary structure includes four short double-helical elements and three loops (D, anti-codon, and T loops). Further hydrogen bonds mediate the characteristic L-shaped molecular structure. tRNAs have two regions of fundamental functional importance: the anti-codon, which is responsible for specific mRNA codon recognition, and the 3' end, to which the tRNAs corresponding amino acid is attached (by aminoacyl-tRNA synthetases). tRNAs cope with the degeneracy of the genetic code in two manners: having more than one tRNA (with a specific anti-codon) for a particular amino acid; and 'wobble' base-pairing, i.e. permitting non-standard base-pairing at the 3rd anti-codon position. Lineage: Eukaryota; Perkinsozoa; Perkinsida; Perkinsidae. The record is from Rfam by way of RNAcentral.
GCUCUGGUGGCUCAAUCGGAUAGAGUGUUGGACUUCUAAUCCAAAGGUUGCGGGUUCAAGUCCCGCCCAGAGUA